UAUGUUAUAGCUCAGUUGGUUAGAGCAUGGUCCUGAUAAUGCCAAAGUCGUGGGUUCAAUCCCAGCUGCAUAU
This is a non-coding RNA of Podarcis lilfordi (Lilford's wall lizard), 73 nucleotides long. The record is from the annotation of a GenBank genome assembly. NCBI's taxonomy places the organism in Eukaryota, Metazoa, Chordata, Lepidosauria, Squamata, Lacertidae.